Pelobates cultripes (western spadefoot toad) is the source of this 1566-nucleotide non-coding RNA. The record is from the annotation of a GenBank genome assembly. NCBI's taxonomy places the organism in Eukaryota, Metazoa, Chordata, Amphibia, Anura, Pelobatidae.
UGAAGGCUGUCAGUUUACCUGGACACGCUUACCCAAGGCUAUGUGGAUUCCCCAGCUGUUUAUUCGCUGGUACUCCAACAUACUCUAAAAAAAACAUGGACCAUCGGUCAUGGUUCCGUCCUUUUUGCAAAAUGUUGAUGAUUUGUUGUUAUGUAGCCCUAGCUAUGAGGCAAGCACUGUGGAUACUGUCAGCAACUGUAGGUCACAAGGUUGUUAAACACAAAAUGCAAUUGUGUAAAUCAAAGGUUGAUUACUUAGGUUUUGUUCUGGCUUCAGGCACCAGACAAUUGAGUCCAAAACGUAUUGAGGUCAUUCAGAGGAUUCCAACACCCACUACUCGGAAGGAGUUGCUCACCUUCCUCGGCAUGAUUAAUUACUGCCACCAUGGAUCCCUGAAUGCUCCCAUUAUGACUCAAUCCUAAGGGAGGCUGUACGUUCUGACAGCCCUGAAAAUGUCUGCUGGUCACCAGACAUGCUAGCUGCAUAUAUUGCCCUUACAGUUGUUAUUGUGCAAGCCCAGGCUUUAUGACUACCUGUGUAUUGUAAACCAUUUCAUUUGUAUGCUUGGGACAAUUGUAAAACCAUGGCCGCGGUCUGUGCACAAGAGCAAGGAGGCGGUAUGCGUCCCAUAGCAUUCUUUUCCAAAGUAGUUCGAGCUCCGGUACAGGGUAUGCCGGCGUGUCUCAGAGCAUUGAUAGCAUGUGCAAUGGCUGUUGAAACUGCUACUACUAUCACACUAGGGCAUCAUACAAUACUUCAUGCCAGUCACCAGGUCACUCAGCUGAUAAUAAAUAUCACCAUACAACACAUGACAGCCCAGCGCUUCAGUGGUUAUGAGAUUUUUUUUUUUUUAAAUACCCAGAAUCUGUCUUUUGGAUUAAACAAGGUUUAGAGAAAGAUCAAAAUGAUCUGUUCUCUAAAGAGGGGAGAAUAGGCAUACUUGAAGAAUAGGCAUACUUGAAGCAAGCUGAUUUAUUUUCAUCAGUCAGGCAUAUAGCAAGCACCAUUCAAUUCUUCAUGAAUUCAUUUUAUAUUAGGAAUCUCAGGCAGCAUGUACAGUCUUUUGUAAGAUCGUGUGAACGCUGCUCUUUUUACACACUUACAGAUUGAUUUUAUUUAUGUAUCCAAAAUUGGUAAGAAACAGCAAUACUUACUGGUCAUAGUUGAUCAGUUUAGUAGAUGGCAUGAGGCCUUUGUGACAUCUAGGGAAGAUGCUAGUGAAGAUUAUUGUUACUGAAAUUAUUCCCCGGUAUUGCUGCCCUCUGCAGAUUGGCUCUGAUAAUGGCCCGGUUUUUGCAAGUGGGGUUGCCCAGGAACUUGCUAAAUUCUUGCAAGUUACCUGGCAGUUUCAUAUACCCUAUCAUCCACAGAAUACAGGGGUUGUUGAAAGGAUGAAUAGGACUAUUAAGGAAAAGCCCAGAAUUUACCCAGGAACAUGGGUAAAUUGGACUAGAUAUCUACCAACUAUUUUAGCUGAGAUAAGAAUGAAUCCCCACAAGGUGACUAAAUUAUCUCCAUUUGAGAUUUUGAUGGGAUGACCUUUUCCCACACCCUGGGCCAGGGAAC